Molecule: ribosomal RNA, 119 nt
Filed under: Pteropus alecto (black flying fox)
Lineage: Eukaryota; Metazoa; Chordata; Mammalia; Chiroptera; Pteropodidae
Source: RNAcentral
AUUUUUAAAUGUUUCUUUUAGUCUAUGGCCGAUCCCGUCUGAUCUCAGAAACUAAGCAGGGUCGGGCCUGGUUAGUACUUGGAUGGGAGACCACCUAGGAAGACCAGGUGCUGUAGGCG